Molecule: transfer RNA, 73 nt
Organism: Gossypium raimondii (Peruvian cotton)
Lineage: Eukaryota; Viridiplantae; Streptophyta; Magnoliopsida; Malvales; Malvaceae
Rfam family: tRNA
About the family: Transfer RNA (tRNA) molecules are approximately 80 nucleotides in length. Their secondary structure includes four short double-helical elements and three loops (D, anti-codon, and T loops). Further hydrogen bonds mediate the characteristic L-shaped molecular structure. tRNAs have two regions of fundamental functional importance: the anti-codon, which is responsible for specific mRNA codon recognition, and the 3' end, to which the tRNAs corresponding amino acid is attached (by aminoacyl-tRNA synthetases). tRNAs cope with the degeneracy of the genetic code in two manners: having more than one tRNA (with a specific anti-codon) for a particular amino acid; and 'wobble' base-pairing, i.e. permitting non-standard base-pairing at the 3rd anti-codon position.
Source: Rfam
GCGCUCGUAGCUCAGUGGAUAGAGCGUCUGUUUCCUAAGCAGAAGGCCGUAGGUUCGAUCCCUACCUGGCGCG